This is a non-coding RNA of Triticum urartu, 784 nucleotides long. The record is from RefSeq and is a predicted model, not a curated record. NCBI's taxonomy places the organism in Eukaryota, Viridiplantae, Streptophyta, Magnoliopsida, Poales, Poaceae.
AUCUCUUCAUGACCCCGGUCGUCCUCAACCUCUCGUCAGACUCAGGCAACGAGCCAGCGCCCGCACCCCACUCGCGCCCGACCCCUCCCCUCCUCUACCUCGCCCCAAAUCCGCUCUGAACGGACCCCCACUCUGCCCUAACUUCUACUCUUCCGUUACCCGCACUAAACCGCGCCCUAAUGGCCAUUAGAACACCGGAAACAGCCGCCAUGAAGACGCCAUAAUUCCGACGACGCACUGCAACGUUCCGACCUCCCCUGCAUCCUAUAAAAGGCCCCCUCCCCUCACAACUCUCUCCUUGCCCGAACCCCUCUCCUUCGGGAGCUUAUACCCCUACCCAUCGUCGUGAAUUGCUCACCGGAGUUGCGUGACGCUGGUGCUGUUCGUGGAAGGUUCCGGCGAGUCCGAGCCGGAGUAUGCAUCUGGUCAGAGCUCCGCCCAACUCCGGCGACGCAUCACGGUCACCAGAGGACGGUGCCAAGCGCGUUUUGGUGUUCAGCAAGUUUUCCUCGACUUCCUCUACUCCUUCCACCUCUCUUUCGUUGCCGAAGACAUCCGCAUCAUCGAGCGAGAGCACGCCAAGUUUGUUGUCCAUCGCCGGCCAACUCCUCCGAUGAUGAGUGACGAGAUAGGGCUACGGAGCUACACUCAACUAGCCUUGUGGCGACUGAUGGGCUCAGGAUUAUUAUUAUGUUAUUUGCUUCCGCUAUGUACCUUCAGCUGAGUGAGUUGUAAUAAAUUGAACUUUGGAUCUUCGAUGUAAUAAAAUGACGUUUGUACUUGA